RNAcentral lists this small nucleolar RNA (126 nucleotides) under Nannospalax galili (Upper Galilee mountains blind mole rat). RNAcentral describes it as "Small nucleolar RNA SNORD22 (ENSNGAG00000006885.1)". It matches the Rfam family "Small nucleolar RNA SNORD22". From Rfam's summary of the family: U22 is a member of the C/D class of snoRNA which contain the C (UGAUGA) and D (CUGA) box motifs. U22 is encoded within the U22 snoRNA host gene (UHG) in mammals and has also been identified in Xenopus. U22 is thought to as a 2'-O-ribose methylation guide for ribosomal RNA. Lineage: Eukaryota; Metazoa; Chordata; Mammalia; Rodentia; Spalacidae. The record is from Rfam by way of RNAcentral.
UCCCUAUGAAGAAAUAGUCACGUGUCUUACUUCCUGUCCUAGCCCCAGAGCCUGAAAAGGUGAACCCACUGGGGCUGGCUGGGAGAAAAGAGGAAAAUUUGUUCCAGAAGGAACUGUCUGAGGGAU